UUCUUCUCCAUUUACCCCCCGUGGCCUCCUGCCCCUAGCCUCCUUACCCCCUCAAUAGGUGGGACAGGAUGGCAAGAGUGGGUUGGAGUUGGAUAUUUCACUUCCCUCAAGUCAGUUAGGCUCUGAUAAACUCCCAGCAGGUUAGGGUCUGGUUAGUUUCUCCUGAAGGCAGGUCUUUGUUAAGACCAGAAUCCUCUACCAUAUUUCACAAUGGUUCCUUUCCCCUUCCCCCUACUGGAAUCAGGAGGAAGUUUUCCUUUAAUAUUCACUGUGAAAAACUGGUAGAUCUUCAGAAGGUAAAACACUAAAGUGUGAAGACCCCUGAUGACCAGGUCCCCUUGGAGUUUUUCUCUCAGACUUGUCCACAGUUAACCUCUAGCAAUUCAUCAAUUAUAGUUCAGGCUUUUCUACCCUGCACUGGUUCCCAUGGAGGUUUUUGCUUAUGGAUUUCUACUCUGAAAGUAUUGAAGGUAGCUGGCCUAAAUACACACAGGC
This 495-nucleotide long non-coding RNA is filed under the name Equus asinus (donkey). Its description in RNAcentral is "lncRNA (ENSEASG00005038313.1)". Lineage: Eukaryota; Metazoa; Chordata; Mammalia; Perissodactyla; Equidae. The record is from RNAcentral.